RNAcentral lists this ribosomal RNA (249 nucleotides) under Triticum aestivum (bread wheat). Its description in RNAcentral is "partial small subunit ribosomal RNA". Lineage: Eukaryota; Viridiplantae; Streptophyta; Magnoliopsida; Poales; Poaceae. The record is from RNAcentral.
CUCAACGAUGAUGCAUACAUGUCCACUAUGGGUGUUGGGUCCAACAAUUCGCAUUGGUCUCAAACCAAUGACAUCCAUUUCGAAGACCAUGAGUUUGAGGUGGACGAGGAGGGUGAGGGAAUUGUCGAGGCGCCGAGAGGAAGAGAAGGCAAUUACUCCACCACCGAUGACAAGUUACUAUGCUACACUUAUUUGCAUGUGUCGAAGGAUCCAUCCAUUGGAGGUGAUCAAAGUAGAGACGCGUAUUGA